CUGGUUGAUCCUGCCAGACCCGACUGCUAUCGGAGUGAGAUUAAGCCAUGCGAGUCAACGUAGCAAUACGUGGCACACGGCUCAGUAACACGUAGUCAACAUAACCAAAGGACGUGGAUAAACUCGGGAAACUGAGGCUAAACCGCGAUAGACCGAGAUACCUGGAAUGGUUUUUGAUUAAAAUCUAUAUGGCCUUUGGAUUGGACUGCGACCGAUCAGGCUGUUGGUGAGGUAAUGGCCCACCAAACCUGUAACCGGUACGGGCUCUGAGAGGAGGAGCCCGGAGAUGGGUACUGAGACAAGGACCCAGGCCCUAUGGGGCGCAGCAGGCGCGAAACCUCUGCAAUAGGCGAAAGCCUGACAGGGUUAUUCUGAGUGACUUUCGCUAAGAAAGUCUUUUGACACCUCUAAAAAUGGUGUAGAAUAAGGGGUGGGCAAGUCUGGUGUCAGCCGCCGCGGUAAUACCAGCACCCCGAGUGGUCGGGACGAUUAUUGGGCCUAAAGCAUCCGUAGCCGGUUUUACAAGUCCUCCGUUAAAUCCAACUGCUUAACAGAUGGGCCGCGGAGGAUACUAUAAGACUAGAAGGCAGGAGAGGCAAGCGGUACUCGGUGGGUAGGGGUAAAAUCCGUUGAUCCAUUGAAGACCCCCAGUGGCGAAGGCGGCUUGCCAGAAUGCGCUCGACGGUGAGGGAUGAAAGCUGGGGGAGCAAACCGGAUUAGAUACCCGGGUAGUCCCAGCUGUAAACGAUGCAGACUCGGUGAUGGACUAGCUUCAUGCUAGUCCAGUGUCGCAGGAAGCCGUUAAGUCUGCCGCCUGGGUAGUACGGU
Molecule: ribosomal RNA, 828 nt
Filed under: uncultured archaeon
Lineage: Archaea
Description: bacterial SSU rRNA
Rfam family: Archaeal small subunit ribosomal RNA
Source: RNAcentral